RNAcentral lists this ribosomal RNA (253 nucleotides) under uncultured bacterium. RNAcentral describes it as "partial 16S ribosomal RNA". It matches the Rfam family "Bacterial small subunit ribosomal RNA", at positions 524 to 776 of the family's 1533-position model. The record is from RNAcentral.
UACGUAGGGUGCUAGCGUUGUUCGGAAUUAUUGGGCGUAAAGAGCGUGUAGGCGGCCCGGUAAGUCCGCUGUGAAAGUCGGGGGCUCAACCCUCGAAUGCCGGUGGAUACUGUCGGGCUAGAGUGCGGAAGAGGCGAGUGGAAUUCCUGGUGUAGCGGUGAAAUGCGCAGAUAUCAGGAGGAACACCGAUUGCGAAGGCAGCUCGCUGGGACGUUACUGACGCUGAGACGCGAAAGCGUGGGGAGCAAACAGG